AUACGGAAGAUGCGAGCGUUAUCCGGAUUUAUUGGGUUUAAAGGGUGCGUAGGCUGUGCGUUAAGUCAGGGGUGAAAUGCCGUCGCUCAACGACGGAGCUGCCCUUGAUACUGGCGUGCUGGAGUACGGAUGCCGUUGGAGGAAUGAGUGGUGUAGCGGUGAAAUGCUUAGAUAUCACUCAGAACACCGAUUGCGAAGGCAUCUGACGAAUCCGUCACUGACGCGGGGGCACGAAAGCGGGGGGAUAGAACAGGAUUAGAUACCCUGGUAUUCCACGCCGUAAACGAUGAUGACUAACCGUCGGCGAUAGACAGCCGGUGGCCAAGCGAAAGCGAUAAGUCAUCCACCUGGGGAGUACGUCGGCAACGAUGAAACUCAAAGGAAUUGGCGGGG
This 393-nucleotide ribosomal RNA is filed under the name uncultured bacterium. RNAcentral describes it as "partial 16S ribosomal RNA". It matches the Rfam family "Bacterial small subunit ribosomal RNA", at positions 523 to 918 of the family's 1533-position model. The record is from RNAcentral.